UUCUGUGGCGUUUACGUCAAGUGGAGAAAUCUUAGACAUUAAGAAUCCCAGACAAAUCCUUGGCCUGUUUUCCCUUCUAUUUCUCAGGCAUAUAUCAUCUUGUUCAUUUCAUUUGUUGGAUAAAUUUUCUCUCUUGAAAUUUCCCAGAAAAAAUCUCAGAAGCUCCACCACAAGGAAUCCAUUUCCCAGAUAAGUUUCUUUUUCAUUCUUGUUAUACGAGCAAGAAUAUAUCGUUUUUGUUUGCAGCUGAUAUAGGGGUUUGUCUGUUUGCUUCUCUCUGAAUUGGGAUUUGUUUAUUCUCGUAUAAGCAGUAGCAAAUCCUUAUUCGGAGAGAGAUAUAUAUUAAUAUCUGGUAUUACUUGCCUUCUUGUUGAGGUUUCAUCAUUAAAAUUCAUACCGUAAGGGUUAAAGAGGAACCCAUUUGAGCUUCAAGGAAGAAAGUUGAGAUUUUGAAGCUAUUUUGUACAAAUUGAAACCACUUGGGGGUGUUGUGUGAAAGAUUUGCUUCUGGUGUUAAUAGACUUAGCCUGUGCAAGAGUAGUGUCCUGGUGUGCUUGAUUGAUGUGUGUAUUAGAGUAAAAGGGAACUAAAGUUUUAGAGCUCUCUAUAUUUUUAUUGUUAACCAUUUGAAAGUUUUGUGAUAUUGGUUGGUUGGGUUUAGAUUGUGAAGCUAACGUAGUUUCAAUACUCAGCAUUCUAGGUUUUGAUUUGUAUUAUUGAAUUAGGUCUCGAGUGAUUUGACAUAUAAGUUAUUGGAGUUGUUAGAGUGAAUUGCUAGGUUUGCUAUGGGGAAGCAGAGUGGGAAGAAAAAGAAACAGGGAGGAGGACAAUCAAGUGAUAAUAAUGCGAAGCAAACCAAUGUUGGGGAUAAUAGCCCGAAAGCCUACGAUAAGGACACGACAGUUUUCAUUUCCAUGUCACAGGAAUUGAAGGAGGAGGGAAACAAGCUGUUCCAAAAGAGGGACCUCGAAGGAGCCAUGUUGAAAUAUGAUAAAGCCAUGAAAUUGCUUCCGAGAAACCACAUUGAUGUGUCCUAUCUCAGGAGUAACUUGGCUACAUGCUAUAUGCAGAUGGGUGUGAGCGAGUAUCCCAGGGCAAUCCAUGAGUGCAAUUUGGCACUAGAAGUGACACCCAAGUACAGUAAAGCACUAUUAAAGAGGGCAAGGUGUUAUGAGGCAUUGAAUAGGCUAGAUUUGGCUCUGAGAGAUGCCACUGCAGUUGUGAACGUGGAACCAAAUAAUGUCAUGGCGUUAGAAAUUGCUGAAAGGAUUAAAAAGACACUUGAGAAUAAAGGGUUGAGAGUGAAUGAUGCGAUAAUUGAAUUGCCUCCAGAAUACGUUGAACCUCCUUCUGCUUCACCUAUGCCAAAAGCUGCAAAAGAGAAGGCGAGGAAGAAAAAGAAGAGCAAAAAAGUUGAGGAUAAGCAGGCCUCAGACAUGAUUGAGGAGAAGCGGGUUGAUGAGAAAAUUGAGGAGACGAAGGCUGAGGAUAAGGUGGUCGUGGAGGAGAGAAUCAGUAUUACAAAAGACGAAGAGCCAAAGAAGACUGUAAAAUUGGUGUUUGGGGAGGAUAUAAGGUGGGCUCAGUUGCCAUGUAAUUGCAGCCUCCUACAAGUAAGGGAAGUUAUACGUGAUCGGUUUCCAAGUUCAAGGGCAGUUCUUAUUAAGUACAGGGACCAGGAAGGUGAUUUGGUCACAAUUACCACAGAUGAAGAACUAAGAUGCGCUGAAGCAACGGCAGAAUCACAUGGUUCAGUCAGGCUGUACAUAGUGGAAGUUAAUCCUAUGCAGGAUAUGUUCUCCGAGAGAUUUAUGCCUGAGGUGCACCAGCUUGACAUCAAAAAAAGUAAUGGAGCUGAGAAUGGAAAUGUGGGUAAAGGCAAAGGAACAGAAAAUGGGUCAUAUUACAUUGAUGACUGGAUAGUUGAGUUUGCAAAGCUGUUUAAGAUAAACGUUGGGCUUGAUUCUGAUGCAUACCUGAAUCUUCAUGAACUUGGUAUGAAAGUAUACUCUGAGGCCGUGGAGGAUACAGUCACAAGUGAAGAAGCCCAAGGCCUUUUUGAUACAGCAGCAGAUAAGUUCCAGGAGAUGGCAGCUUUAGCACUAUUCAACUGGGGAAAUGUUCACAUGUCGAGGGCAAGGAAGAGGGUGUUCUUCACUGAAGAUGCUUCAAGAGAAUCUGUAAUUGAACAAAUCAAGACUGGAUAUGACUGGGCCCGAAAUGAAUAUACAAAAGCCGGACAGAGAUAUGAAGAAGCCUUGAAAAUAAAACCUGAUUUUUAUGAAGGAUUUCUGGCUCUAGGGCAGCAGCAGUUUGAGCAGGCAAAGCUUUCUUGGUACUAUGCAAUUAGCAGCAAUGCAAAUUUGGAAACCUGGCCCUCCUCAGAGGUCUUACAACUAUAUAACAGUGCUGAGGAAAACAUGGAAAGGGGAAUGCAGAUGUGGGAAGAACUGGAAGGGCUACGAUGGAGUGAACUUGCAAAACUCAAGAAUCUUAAAAGCCAGUCAGAGAUAAUGGGGCUGGAUGAUCUAUUUAGGGAUAUAUCGGCAGAAGAAGCUGCAGAGCAAGCCUCAAACAUGAGUUCCCAGAUUAACCUCUUCUGGGGCACCAUACUUUAUGAGCGAUCUCUUAUGGAAUUCAAGUUAGGGAUUCCAGUCUGGGAAGAAUGUUUGGAAGUCGCAGUUGAGAAGUUUGAGCUUGCAGGAGCUUCUGCAACUGAUAUAGCCGUAAUGAUAAAGAACCACUAUUCAAACAAUAAUGCUUUGGAAGGUUUAAGUUUUAAAAUUGAUGAGAUAAUACAGGCAUGGAAUGAGAUGUACGAAGCUAAGAAGUUUCAUAGUCAUGUUCGGUCAUUUCGGUUGGAAGCACUACUGCGACGACGAGUUCCAAAAUUCUAUCACGCCUUGGAGCAUGUAUGACUGGCAUGUUGUAAAGGGAAGGUGAAAAAGACAAUUGCGUUGAACUUACAUUUAGUGCUCCCAUCAACGUGAAUUUCUAGUAUGCAUAUGAGAUAGGUUUCUUUGUCUCUAGCUUUAAGGUUCAGAUUCAGCGCUAUAUUUUUAGCAGGAAGAGAAAACAGUUGCAAAGAGUAGUAUAAUUGUUGUGAGAAAAUAGGUACUUCAGUUUCGUUUACACGGUGGGGAAAAGCGAGGUUGCAGAAAUGUCCAUUUUUGUUGAUUUCUGUGUUCACUGGCAUUGCCCUUUUUUUCUUUUGACAUCAAGCAGGGAGCUGUAUUCUUAAUUCAUUGUUAAGUAGGCAAUAACCAUGAUUUGUUUCUUUGUA
Tripterygium wilfordii is the source of this 3283-nucleotide RNA transcript. It is a transcript of the gene named protein PHOX1-like, with no coding region annotated. NCBI's taxonomy places the organism in Eukaryota, Viridiplantae, Streptophyta, Magnoliopsida, Celastrales, Celastraceae. The transcript is spliced from 3 exons. The record is from RefSeq and is a predicted model, not a curated record.